Molecule: unclassified non-coding RNA, 348 nt
Filed under: soil metagenome
Description: partial contains 5.8S ribosomal RNA, internal transcribed spacer 2, and large subunit ribosomal RNA
Rfam family: 5.8S ribosomal RNA (bases 1-120)
Source: RNAcentral
GAUGAAGAACGCAGCGAAAUGCGAUAAGUAAUGUGAAUUGCAGAAUUCAGUGAAUCAUCGAAUCUUUGAACGCACAUUGCGCCCGCCAGUAUUCUGGCGGGCAUGCCUGUCUGAGCGUCAUUUCAACCCUCAUGCCCCUAGGGCGUGGUGUUGGGGAUCGGCCAAAGCCCGCGAGGGACGGCCGGCCCCUAAAUCUAGUGGCGGACCCGUCGUGGCCUCCUCUGCGAAGUAGUGAUAUUCCGCAUCGGAGAGCGAUGAGCCCCUGCCGUUAAACCCCCAACUUUCCAAGGUUGACCUCAGAUCAGGUAGGAAUACCCGCUGAACUUAAGAAUAUCAAUAAGCGGAGGA